CCUACGGGAGGCAGCAGUGAGGAAUAUUGGUCAAUGGGCGCGAGCCUGAACCAGCCAAGUAGCGUGAAGGAUGACUGCCCUACGGGUUGUAAACCUCUUUUGUCGGGGAGCAAAGCGAGUCACGUGUGACUCAUUGAGAGUACCCGAAGAAAAAGCAUCGGCUAACUCCGUGCCAGCAGCCGCGGUAAUACGGAGGAUUCAAGCGUUAUCCGGAUUUAUUGGGUUUAAAGGGUGCGUAGGCGGUCGGAUAAGUUAGAGGUGAAAUCCCGAGGCUCAACUUCGGAAUUGCCUCUGAUACUGUUCGGCUAGAGAGUAGUUGCGGUAGGCGGAAUGUAUGGUGUAGCGGUGAAAUGCUUAGAGAUCAUACAGAACACCGAUUGCGAAGGCAGCUUACCAAGCUACUUCUGACGUUGAGGCACGAAAGCGUGGGGAGCAAACAGGAUUAGAUACCCUUGUAGUC
RNAcentral lists this ribosomal RNA (460 nucleotides) under uncultured bacterium. RNAcentral's name for it is "partial 16S ribosomal RNA". It matches the Rfam family "Bacterial small subunit ribosomal RNA", at positions 338 to 795 of the family's 1533-position model. The record is from RNAcentral.